RNAcentral lists this ribosomal RNA (169 nucleotides) under uncultured bacterium. Its description in RNAcentral is "partial 16S ribosomal RNA". It matches the Rfam family "Bacterial small subunit ribosomal RNA", at positions 338 to 524 of the family's 1533-position model. The record is from RNAcentral.
CCUACGGGAGGCAGCAGGGGGGAAUAUUGCACAAUGGAGGAAACUCUGAUGCAGCGACGCCGCGUGAGCGAUGAAGGUUUUCGAAUCGUAAAGCUCUGUCCUAAGGGACGAUAAUGACGGUACCUUAGGAGGAAGCCCCGGCUAACUACGUGCCAGCAGCCGCGGUAAU